Molecule: long non-coding RNA, 3019 nt
Filed under: Equus asinus (donkey)
Lineage: Eukaryota; Metazoa; Chordata; Mammalia; Perissodactyla; Equidae
Description: lncRNA (ENSEASG00005026037.1)
Source: RNAcentral
GAUAAGACAGACCCUGAGCGGGCAGACCGGCCUGGUGGGGAGGGGUGGGCAGACAGAUGAACCAUGAUAGGCGUGGUGAGGACAGACAGACCAUGGCAGGCAUGUGAGGACAGACAGACAGACCAUGGCAGCCAUGUGAGGGCAGACAGACCAUGGCAGGCAUGUGAGGACACAGACAGACCAUGGCAGGCAUGUGAGGACAGACAGACCAUGGCAGGCAUGGCAGGCAUGUGAGGACAGACAGACCAUGGCAGGCAUGUGAGGACAGACAGACCACGGCAGGCAUGUGAGGACACAGACAGACCACGGCAGGCAUGUGAGGACAGACAGACCAUGGCAGGCAUGUGAGGACAGACAGACCAUGGCAGGCAUGUGAGGACAGACAGACCACGGCAGGCAUGUGAGGACACAGACAGACCACGGCAGGCAUGUGAGGACACAGACAGACCACGGCAGGCAUGUGAGGACACAGACAGACCACGGCAGGCAUGUGAGGACACAGACAGACCAUGGCAGGCAUGUGAGGGCAGACAGACAGACCAUGGCAGGCAUGUGAGGACACAGACAGACCAUGGCAGGCAUGUGAGGGCAGACAGACCAUGGCAGGCAUGUGAGGACAGACAGACAGACCAUGGCAGGCAUGUGAGGGCAGACAGACCAUGGCAGGCAUGGCAGGCAUGUGAGGACAGACAGACCAUGGCAGGCAUGUGAGGACACAGACAGACCAUGGCAGGCAUGUGAGGACAGACAGACCAUGGCAGGCAUGUGAGGACAGACAGACCAUGGCAGGCAUGUGAGGACACAGACAGACCAUGGCAGGCAUGUGAGGACAGACAGACCAUGGCAGGCAUGUGAGGACAGACAGACCAUGGCAGGCAUGGCAGGCAUGUGAGGACAGACAGACCAUGGCAGGCAUGUGAGGACACAGACAGACCAUGGCAGACAUGUGAGGACAGACGGACGGACCAUAGCAGGCGUGGUGAGGAGUAUCUGAGACGGAACAAGGAACAGGAGAGGGUGGAGCGUGGUUCUGAGUCUGAGGCCCCUCCACCCCAUCAUGGCUCCCUGGGCUGGCCCCCAUGCUCCAGGUAGAGCAGCAGCAGGGGUGGGUUCAAAGCGCAGCUUCUGGAGACAUCCAGGCCUCCUGCUCCCUGGCUGUGAGUGAGCCUCUGUUUCCUCAUCUGUGACGUCGGGGAAUCCAGGACCCACUCACAGAACCAGAUGCCUGCAAAGCCCUGAGAACAGAGCCUGGCGCAGGCAGCACCACAUGGGUGUUUGCACCAUCAAUAUUACUAGUAUUCUGUCCCUCUCCUCGCCCCUGCCUCCCGGUGCCGCCGGCCACAUGCCCCUGAGGGGGACACGUCUUCUUCAUGGUUCUCUUCCUGGUCCAGCACAGUGACUGACGGGGACGGGGCUGAAUGAACGUCCGAGUGUACAUGACAGCCUGUGGGGCUGAGAGGCCCUCACAGCCCUCCUGUUGGUCCAGCUCUUUCCACGUCUUGGGGGAUACUCAGUGUUUUGCAUCCGUUUACUUCAACUCUGAGAAAUAGUUCUUAUCCUCGCUCUUACAGGUGAGCUAGGAGGGACCCAGAGCUGCGUGACUUCCCGGGCUAGAUGUGUGGCAUCUAACUGCGAUGGUUUCUCCAGGACUCUUGUAGAAAGGACGUACUCCCUCUCUUGAAAGUAUGUAGUAGCAAUCGGCAGAGAAAAACGCAAGGAAGGAGGCAUCCUCGGGUGCUAAAAUCCAGGCACGGUAAUUAGCUGAAAGCAUGUGAUAAACUGCAGAAUUGCAUGGCCCAGAGUGAGACGGGAGGGGCCUCCAGGGGCUCCCAGGUGAACCGGUAUCGGAGGCAUCAGGGAGCUGGUGCAGUGGGAGAGUCACCCCCGGAUGUGGCUUGUGCUGUGUGCAUCUGCUCCUCCUUCUCAGCCUCUUCCCCUGCAGCCUCCCUGCCCUCUCGCUCCUGCCUCUCAAAGCCUUUCCCCAUUUCUGAGCCAUGAAAGGCUUGAAAAUCACAUGGAUAUCUAAUGACACUACUUACAGAUGCACUUACCCUGUGACCCAGCGAUCCCACUUCUAGGAAUUUACCCGGAAGAAACACCUCCAGCGAUGUGUAAAUACUUAUGCACAAUUGAGUUACUUGUUAUGGCAUUAGUUGUAAUCUGUAAAAUAUUGGAAACAACCUACAUAUAUUUAAGUGUAAAUAUGGUUGAAUAAACGGCGGUAUAUUCACACAGUGGAGCGCGGGGCAGAUAUAAAAGGAUUGAGGAAGAGCUCCGUGAGAUGACGCGGCCUGAUUUCUAGGAUGUAUCGUUAAGUGACAAAAGCAAGUGCAAAAGAGUAUCCAUAGCAUGCUACCUUUGUGUAAGAAAGAAGGGGGAAUAAGAAAGUCGCCACAAAUGUGUUCACUCCUGCAAAAAGAAACACAGAAGGAGAAACCAGAAACCUAUGGGGCCGGGCGGGAAGAGGAGGUGACACAUGGGGACAUUUUUCUACUCUUCUGUAUAUGACUUCUUGCAUAGUUUUGACUUUUAGAACUGCGUCAUGUUUCUCAUAUUCAAAAAAAGGUAAAUUAACAAGGUUGGGGAAUGAAAUGUUAAUACAAAUGGAAACAAAUAAACCAAACUCUACUUCAAAUGGCAACAGAACCGCCCUGAAUGGGGAGGGGAACUGGCCCAGUGACCCCGCCCCCCGCCCCAGGUAACUCUUGAACAUGGUAUUUUGGCUCUCUGGACUAUAUAUCCUCAGUCAAAAGACAAAAAAAAAAAAAAAAACAGAACAAAACCCCUGAAAAUAAAUAUUGAGCUCUUGUUGGUAGAUUUGUUUUUCACAGCGUUGUGGGUUACCAAUUACGAAACCAGGACUGAGCAAACAAGUAAAUAUAUUGCCGAUGCUGGGAACCGAGACUUUUGCUAUUGGGGAGAGGAAGAGCAAAUAUGGGAAGAGAGAAGGUUGGAAGGAAAUCUGUGGUGCUGGGUUGGAAUUGGAGAUAUCGGUGUAAACUCAGGAUUCGUAAGAUAG